RNAcentral lists this ribosomal RNA (255 nucleotides) under uncultured bacterium. RNAcentral's name for it is "partial 16S ribosomal RNA". It matches the Rfam family "Bacterial small subunit ribosomal RNA", at positions 524 to 776 of the family's 1533-position model. The record is from RNAcentral.
UACGAAGGGGACUAGCGUUGUUCGGAAGUUACUGGGCGUAAAGCGCGCGUAGGGUGGCUUCGUAAGUCCGUUGUGAAAGCAAAGGCUCAACCUUUGAAAGCCGAUGGAUACUGUGGAGCUAGAGUACGGAAGAGGCGAGUGGAAUUCCUGGUGUAGCGGUGGAAUGCGCAGAUAUCAGGAGGAACACCAAUAGCGAAGGCAGCUCGCUGGGACGUUACUGACACUGAGGCGCGGAAAGCGUGGGGAGCGAACAGG